Molecule: ribosomal RNA, 451 nt
Filed under: uncultured organism
Description: partial 16S ribosomal RNA
Rfam family: Bacterial small subunit ribosomal RNA
Source: RNAcentral
CACUCCUGCGGGAGGCAGCAGUGGGGAAUAUUGGACAAUGGGCGCAAGCCUGAUCCAGCCAUGCCGCGUGAGUGAUGAAGGCCCUAGGGUUGUAAAGCUCUUUCACCGGUGAAGAUAAUGACGGUAACCGGAGAAGAAGCCCCGGCUAACUUCGUGCCAGCAGCCGCGGUAAUACGAAGGGGGCUAGCGUUGUUCGGAUUUACUGGGCGUAAAGCGCACGUAGGCGGACGAUUAAGUCAGGGGUGAAAUCCCGGGGCUCAACCCCGGAACUGCCUUUGAUACUGGUAGUCUUGAGUUCGAGAGAUGUGAGUGGAAUUCCGAGUGUAGAGGUGAAAUUCGUAGAUAUUCGGAGGAACACCAGUGGCGAAGGCGGCUCACUGGCUCGAUACUGACGCUGAGGUGCGAAAGCGUGGGGAGCAAACAGGAUUAGAAACCCCUGUAGUCCCAUGAU